GCGGUCGUGGCGGAAUUGGUAGACGCACUACCUUGAGGUGGUAGCGCUGGAAACGGCGUGGAAGUUCGAGUCUUCUCGUCCGCACCA
This 87-nucleotide transfer RNA is filed under the name Hyphomicrobium sp. RNAcentral describes it as "tRNA-Leu". It matches the Rfam family "tRNA". From Rfam's summary of the family: Transfer RNA (tRNA) molecules are approximately 80 nucleotides in length. The record is from RNAcentral. Lineage: Bacteria; Pseudomonadati; Pseudomonadota; Alphaproteobacteria; Hyphomicrobiales; Hyphomicrobiaceae. RNAcentral also lists the same sequence under 1 other name.